GGGGAGUACUAUUCAUGAAAACCCAUGCUCUUUGGCGGCCUUUUCUUCUGAUCAGAGGAACUCGCAUCUUAAUCCGAUAAUCCUCGUUAAAUUUCACUUUUUUUUAAAAGCCUUUAUAUCGCUGUCUUUAGGUAUAAAUCUCAGCUUAUACUUAUUCAAGUCUCUUUUUACGUCAAGUCGAGAUAAAGCCCAUAAAAAAGGGAGCCGAGUUACUUAUACUUUUAUUUAAUAUUAUUAUUUUAAAAAUCUUUAAAUUCAGGAUUUGAAAGUAAUAAAUCAAUAAUAUUUUUCUAUGAAAUAGAAUUCUAGGUGU
This 313-nucleotide ribosomal RNA is filed under the name Harpactirella sp. LP293. Its description in RNAcentral is "partial 12S ribosomal RNA". The record is from RNAcentral. Lineage: Eukaryota; Metazoa; Arthropoda; Arachnida; Araneae; Theraphosidae.